AGAGUUUGAUCCUGGCUCAGGAUGAACGCUGGCGGCGUGCUUAACACAUGCAAGUCGAACGAAGCACUUGAUUUGAUUUUCUUCGGAAUUGAAGAUCUUGUGACUGAGUGGCGGACGGGUGAGUAACGCGUGGGCAACCUGCCUUGUACAGGGGGAUAACAGUUAGAAAUGACUGCUAAUACCGCAUAAGACCACAGCACCACAUGGUGCAGGGGUAAAAACUGAGGUGGUACAAGAUGGGCCCGCGUCUGAUUAGCUGGUUGGUGAGGUAACGGCUCACCAAGGCGACGAUCAGUAGCCGACCUGAGAGGGUGACCGGCCACAUUGGGACUGAGACACGGCCCAAACUCCUACGGGAGGCAGCAGUGGGGAAUAUUGCACAAUGGGGGAAACCCUGAUGCAGCGACGCCGCGUGAGUGAUGAAGUAUUUCGGUAUGUAAAGCUCUAUCAGCAGGGAAGAAAAUGACGGUACCUGACUAAGAAGCCCCGGCUAACUACGUGCCAGCAGCCGCGGUAAUGCGUAGGGGGCAAGCGUUAUCCGGAUUUACUGGGUGUAAAGGGAGCGUAGACGGAACAGCAAGUCUGAUGUGAAAACCCGGGGCUCAACCCCGGGACUGCAUUGGAAACUGUUGAUCUAGAGUGUCGGAGAGGUAAGUGGAAUUCCUAGUGUAGCGGUGAAAUGCGUAGAUAUUAGGAGGAACACCAGUGGCGAAGGCGGCUUACUGGACGAUGACUGACGUUGAGGCUCGAAAGCGUGGGGAGCAAACAGGAUUAGAUACCCUGGUAGUCCACACCGUAAACGAUGAUUACUAGGUGUUGGAGGAUUGACCCCUUCAGUGCCGCAGUUAACACAAUAAGUAAUCCACCUGGGGAGUACGACCGCAAGGUUGAAACUCAAAGGAAUUGACGGGGGCCCGCACAAGCAGUGGAGUAUGUGGUUUAAUUCGACGCAACGCGAAGAACCUUACCAAGUCUUGACAUCCCUUGACAGACAUAGAAAUAUGUAAUCUCUUCGGAGCAAGGAGACAGGUGGUGCAUGGUUGUCGUCAGCUCGUGUCGUGAGAUGUUGGGUUAAGUCCCGCAACGAGCGCAACCCUUAUGGUCAGUUACUACGCAAGAGGACUCUGGCCAGACUGCCGUUGACAAAACGGAGGAAGGUGGGGAUGACGUCAAAUCAUCAUGCCCUUUAUGACUUGGGCUACACACGUACUACAAUGGCGUUAAACAAAGAGAAGCAAGACCGCGAGGUGGAGCAAAACUCAGAAACAACGUCCCAGUUCGGACUGCAGGCUGCAACUCGCCUGCACGAAGUCGGAAUUGCUAGUAAUCGUGGAUCAGCAUGCCACGGUGAAUACGUUCCCGGGCCUUGUACACACCGCCCGUCACACCAUGAGAGCCGGGGGGACCCGAAGUCGGUAGUCUAACCGCAAGGAGGACGCCGCCGAAGGUAAAACUGGUGAUUGGGGUGAAGUCGUAACAAGGUA
This 1484-nucleotide ribosomal RNA is filed under the name metagenome. Its description in RNAcentral is "bacterial SSU rRNA". It matches the Rfam family "Bacterial small subunit ribosomal RNA". The record is from RNAcentral.